GGGUUGGAAAGUUUUUCGGUGCAGGAUGAGCCCGCGGCCUAUCAGCUUGUUGGUGGGGUAAUGGCCUACCAAGGCGACGACGGGUAGCCGGCCUGAGAGGGUGAUCGGCCACACUGGGACUGAGACACGGCCCAGACUCCUACGGGAGGCAGCAGUGGGGAAUAUUGCACAAUGGGCGAAAGCCUGAUGCAGCGACGCCGCGUGGGGGAUGACGGUCUUCGGAUUGUAAACCCCUUUCAGUAGGGACGAAGCGCA
Molecule: ribosomal RNA, 255 nt
Filed under: uncultured bacterium
Lineage: Bacteria
Description: partial 16S ribosomal RNA
Rfam family: Bacterial small subunit ribosomal RNA
Source: RNAcentral